Molecule: long non-coding RNA, 899 nt
Organism: Magnolia sinica
Lineage: Eukaryota; Viridiplantae; Streptophyta; Magnoliopsida; Magnoliales; Magnoliaceae
Exons: 2
Source: RefSeq, a predicted model, not a curated record
UUCCUCUUGUGAAACCUUGGUUGAGAUGCUUUUCCUUACCUAGAUCCACAGGUUAUUUGUCAUCUCUCUUUUAAGCUUCUAGAUUUUGUUUCAGUAUUCUGUUGUCUGUAUAAAGUAUGAAUGAACACUUUGUUCUUCCUAAUUUCCAAAUGUGUAAUUUUCUUCUAAUCUGUGAACAGUUCGUGAAAUUUUGAAUUUGUUUCUCUUAUUUUAGCAAAACAAUGGGUUGACGAUGUUGGUGCUUUGUAUAUCCCAAGCAGCGCCUAUCUUUGCUAGGACCAAUACUACUUUGCUAGUCACUAUAGUCUGCACCCUUUAUAUCUGUAGAAUAUGAUAAGUCUAUCCACCACCGAUUUCUAGAGAUGGUAAGAGACUGGGUUGUUGGUUAAAACUUAAAACAAAACCAGAAUAUGAAAUAGCCGGUGGGGUCUGUGGAAAGCCACAAAAGGGAACUAUUAUGCAUGGCCAAGCCUUGAUAUCUUUACCAACAAAGACUGGCUCACCAGCUGAUCGAAGAUUUUUCUGCACUGCUGGCUUCCCUGUAAGUGUGAACCAUCUUAUGGCUUGAAGGUUUUGUGCCAAAAUCUAAUGCAAAACCUUGGAAUGUCAUCCAUACUCUGCCUUUUUUAACAUGAAGUGCCAGCAUGUUAGAGAGGUAUCAUUGCAUCUUCAUUUUAAAUUAUUCCAAUCACCAGAAAACCUCCUCCCUUGUAAUUGUGCCCUUUUUCACUUGUUUAAUGAAAUCCAUAUUUAAUCUUCCUCUGUUCCCUAAUGUACUGCUUUUACAUUAUUAAUGAAAAGUGGAAUGACCUCUGGUUCCCAUGCUUCAAUUGGCAUGGGAGUUGGUUCCAUUAUCCCAACUUAUUUACCUUUUCAUGUUCUCACUAAAAAAUGUUUUU